This 72-nucleotide transfer RNA is filed under the name Nanobdellota archaeon. RNAcentral describes it as "tRNA-Cys". It matches the Rfam family "tRNA". Rfam says of the family: Transfer RNA (tRNA) molecules are approximately 80 nucleotides in length. Their secondary structure includes four short double-helical elements and three loops (D, anti-codon, and T loops). Lineage: Archaea; Nanobdellati; Nanobdellota. The record is from RNAcentral.
GGCGAGGUGGCCAAGUGGUUAAGGCGUGAGGCUGCAACCCUCUGAUCGUGGGUUCAAAUCCCAUCCUCGCCU